AUGCUUCCCUCUAGUUGCCAACUAUUAUUUCCCAGAACUUUUCCUUCAUUCCUGCCCCAAAAAACUUUUAGCUCUCUUUUAGCUCCGGAGUAUAUUCCUCUGAGAAAACAGUCAGGGCCAGUAGUCAAGACAGUGAAAAGCUGGCCGGAGGGAGCAAUGGAGCAGUUAAAGGACUGUUUUGAACAAACGAAUUGGGAAGUUUUUGACCAUCCUGAUCUGGAAGAACAUACAGCUGCAGUGUUAGGGUAUAUGGCACACUGUAUUGACACGGUCACAGUGGAUAAACGUAUCCGGGUUUAUCCCAAUCAAAAACCUUGGAUGACCGGGAAGGUUAGACGCCUGUUGUAUGCUAGAAAUAAGGCUUUUAAGUCUGGAGAUGAUCUAGACUACAGUGCAGCAAGAACGAACUUGAGGAGAGGCAUUAAGCAAGCUAAGGCCGAAUACAAGAGGAGAAUUGAAGACUGCUUUCUCAGCAAUAACAUGAGGCAAGUUUGGCAGGGGGUUCAACAACUAACAAACUACAAAGCAAAAAAGGUUUCCUCGGGCGGAGGCGUGGAGGUGGCUGAGGAGUUGAACAACUUUUUUGCUCGAUUCGAGAUCGAUCAAACUGAAACUGUUCGUUUGCCAUCAUUUACUCAGCAGAGUCCCCCCUUCAUUGUGAAUGAGCAGGAUGUGAGACAGACUAUGAAAGUGGUUAACUCCAGAAAAGCAGCUGGACCCGACUUAAUUCCUGGUCGGGUGGUAAAAGACUGUGCUGAUCAGCUAGCCGGGAUAUGGACUGUAAUUUUUAAUCGAUCCCUGACACUAUGCGCAGUUCCCGUCUGUCUCAAGGCUUCCGUCAUCGUUCCACUGCCUAAAAAGUUGCCUACAAACAGUCCGAGUGACUACAGGCCGGUGGCACUAACUUCAAUCUUAAUGAAGUGCUUUGAGCAGUUAGUUCGGAAAUAUAUUAUCUCCUGCCUUCCUCAUCCCUUUGAUGGGCUUCAGUUUGCUUAUAAAGAAAAUAGAUCAACCGAGGAUGCGAUCAAUACUGUGCUUUAUAUGGCUUUAUCCCACUUGGAAACACAAGGGAAUUAUGUAAGAAUGCUGUUCGCGGACUUUAGCUCUGCUUUUAACACCAUUAUACCCCACAGAUUAAUAGACAAACUUAAAGAUCUUGACUUUCCAGAUUCUAUCUGUCUGUGGAUUUUGGAUUUUUUAACAAGUCGUCCACAAAGGGUUAAACUGAAUGACUACAUCUCUACUGACAAGAUACUCAGCACUGGCACUCCACAAGGCUGUGUCCUUAGUCCACUACUGUUCUCCAUUUAUUCAUCGGAUUGCACCAAUAACCAUCCCAGUAAUAGGAUUAUCAAAUUUGCAGACGAUACUACACUAGUAGGACUUAUCUCUGGGGAUGAUGAGUCUGCGUAUCGGGACGAGGUAUUACAGCUAUCCCGCUGGUGCAAAAAAAAAUAA
RNAcentral lists this long non-coding RNA (1458 nucleotides) under Pogona vitticeps (central bearded dragon). RNAcentral's name for it is "lncRNA (ENSPVIG00000022623.1)". The record is from RNAcentral. Lineage: Eukaryota; Metazoa; Chordata; Lepidosauria; Squamata; Agamidae.